Molecule: ribosomal RNA, 468 nt
Filed under: uncultured bacterium
Lineage: Bacteria
Description: partial 16S ribosomal RNA
Rfam family: Bacterial small subunit ribosomal RNA
Source: RNAcentral
GACGAACGCUGGCGGCGUGCUCAACACAUGCAAGUCGAACGGAAAGGCCCUGCUUUUGUGGGGUGCUCGAGUGGCGAACGGGUGAGUAACGCGUGAGUAACCUGCCCUUGACUUUGGGAUAACUUCAGGAAACUGGGGCUAAUACCGGAUAGGAGCUCCUGCUGCAUGGUGGGGGUUGGAAAGUUUCGGCGGUUGGGGAUGGACUCGCGGCUUAUCAGCUUGUUGGUGGGGUAGUGGCUUACCAAGGCUUUGACGGGUAGCCGGCCUGAGAGGGUGACCGGCCACAUUGGGACUGAGAUACGGCCCAGACUCCUACGGGAGGCAGCAGUGGGGAAUAUUGCACGAUGGGCGGAAGCCUGAUGCAGCAACGCCGCGUGCGGGAUGACGGCCUUCGGGUUGUAAACCGCUUUCGCCUGUGACGAAGCGUGAGUGACGGUAAUGGGUAAAGAAGCACCGGCUAACUACGUG